Molecule: ribosomal RNA, 374 nt
Filed under: uncultured organism
Description: partial 16S ribosomal RNA
Rfam family: Bacterial small subunit ribosomal RNA
Source: RNAcentral
GGGAGGGGUGCAAGCGUUGUUCGGAAUUAUUGGGCGUAAAGAGCGUGUAGGGCGGUUCGGUAAGUCAGAUGUGAAAGCCCUGGGCUCAACCCAGGAAGUGCAUUUGAAACUACCAGACUUGAGUACGGGAGAGGAGGGGGGAAUUCCCGGUGUAGAGGUGAAAUUCGUAGAUAUCGGGAGGAAUACCAGUGGCGAAGGCGCCCCUCUGGACCGAUACUGACGCUGAGACGCGAAAGCGUGGGGAGCAAACAGGAUUAGAUACCCUGGUAGUCCACGCCGUAAACGAUGAGCACUAGGUGUAGCGGGUAUUGACCCCUGCUGUGCCGUAGCUAACGCAUUAAGUGCUCCGCCUGGGGACUACGGUCGCAAGACUA